This 4988-nucleotide long non-coding RNA is filed under the name Mytilus galloprovincialis (Mediterranean mussel). Lineage: Eukaryota; Metazoa; Mollusca; Bivalvia; Mytilida; Mytilidae. The record is from RNAcentral.
AUCGGUUUCCUAUUAUUGAAUUGAUAUCUCUUCCUGGUUUGGAAAUACCAGUUUUAAUAAUGAUUUAUGAUUAAUAUAAGCAAUUCACAGGUAUGUAUAAACAAAUAUUACAAUAUAUGUGUAUCGAUUCUGAUAAAAAUAGAAUGUAAUUAAUUUUUUUCCCAUUUUUUUAACGAUAAAAAAGUGGAGAGCAAUACCGUUAUCUCCACGCUUAUCGGUGAAAGGUGAAAUUAUUUCUCUAAAUCAGUUCCGGAUCUAGGACAUUUUUAAAUUAUUUAUCUUUUUCUAUUCUUAUUUUUUGCUAGAUUAUACAUUUGCAAACAUAAAAAUUAUUACAACAAUUUGACAACUUUAUCAAGUAGAGACAUUUAUUCUUAGUAUGUUUUACUAGUUGCCUGCAUUUUGUAGCUGUACAUGAAUUCUGUUUUAAAUACAGAAUAUACAUCUAAAGAUUUUGUUUUCUGUUCAGACAUAUAGUUUGCCUUGUAUAUACAAAACAUUAUAAUUGUAAUCAAAUAAUUAAUUUCAUAGUAUUGUUCAUCAUUUAUUUUAUAACCCCAAACUAAAUUUUUUAAUGUUAGAAUAUUAUUAUUAAUAUUCAGUUUUUCUAAGAGUGUUUUUACUUUUCUCCAGAAAUUAUCAAGAAAGUGACAUGUUAGAAACAUGUGAUCAUAAUCCUCUGUGGUGUUGCAAUAAUGACAAUUUGAAAUAUCGCAUAUCUUCCACUUUUUCAAUAAAACUUUACAAGGUAAAAUAAAGUGUAGCAAUUUCCAACGGAACACUUUGUAUUUAUUAUCUUUUAAAAAAUAAUGAACAAACUUUAACAUAUUACAUGAAAGACUCUUAAUGUAUACAAGGUUAAGCUUUGUCUUCCAUUUAUAAAAACCAACAGGUAUUUCAAUUUCAUUCUUAAUUAAUAUAUUAUAAAUUUUUCUGGUAUCUACAUUUUCUAAUUUUUCUUUUUUAUUGCAAUUAUCAAUAAUAUGUAUUGCAUAGGGCGUUUUUACUUUAGUUUUCUUUGAGUUUUCCUGUUUUAAAAUCUUUAACCAUUCUCUUGGAAAAGCUUUCUUUAAUUGGUAAAAUUCUGACAUCCAGUUACUUUUUAUUUUAAGCUUUUGUAAAAUAAAAUUUUCUUCUAUAUUACCAUUUUCAUCAAUGAUGUCAUUAAUAAAGAUAAAAUUACUAUUUAUCCAGUUUUGGAAUAAAAGGCAUUUAUUUUUUAUCUUUAAGAAACGAUUUCCCCAAAUAACUUCUUGACGUAUAGAUCUAAAGUUUUUUGGCUGUUGUACUUUUUUAUUAUUUAUCCAUGCUUUUACAAUGUUGAAAUAAAAUUUUGGCAGCUCCUUUAACUCUGGAAUAGAGUCAGUGUUAUCAAUAUUCAUGUGAAAGAUAAGGAAAUCUUUUCCAAACUUAUUAAAAUAAAAAAGUGGAAUAAUUUUCCAAUUUUUUAAAUCUCCAUUAAUUAACCUUUUGAUCCACCCAAUUUUGAUAGAUUCUAUAUAUUUAUCUAUGUUAAUCAUUUUUAAACCCCCAUCUAGUUCACCAAAACUUAGUACUGUGCGUUUAACCUUUUCUCUUUUGCUUUUCCAUAAAAAAUUAUAGAUAAUUUUUUUUAAAUUUAACAAUAUAUUCUUUUUCAAUAUGUGAAACAGAUGCUAAAAAGUAAUGUUUGGUAUGAUCAAUGAUUUGAUAACUGUUAUUUUACCGAUCAUUGUUAAAUGUCUUUUCUCCCAAUUUUUUAUAAUCUUUUCAGACUUUUCUAUUUGUUUUUUCUGCAUUAAGUUUUUGACAUUCAUUUUUGUUACAACCGAAAAAAAAUUCCUAAACAUUCUACUGGUUUGUUUGUAAAGUUGAUAUUUUCAUAUUUUUCUUUGCAAUGUUUGUGUUUUCCUAACCAAAUUCCUUCUGUUUUUGAUCUGUUUAAUUUAAGCCCUGACAAAGUGCCAAAAAUUUCAAUCAUGUUUAAUACUUUUGAAAUGUCUUGUUUUGUUUUUAAAAAAAAGUGUGGUGUCAUCUGCAAGUUGACUGAUUUUUAAAGAAUGUGUUUUCCCAUCUAUUUUGAUUUCAAAUCCUUUAAUAUUAUUGUCUUGUCUUAUUCUACAUGCUAAUAUCUCGACAGCAAUAACGAAAAUUAAAGCACUGCACGGACAUCCUUGUCUAAUCCCUCGAAAAAUGUUGAGGGGUUCAGAUAUCCACCCAUUAUUGAUCACUGAGCUUUUAAUAUCUGUAUACAUAGUUUUUAUCCAUUUGAGCAUAGAAUCUUGAAAGCCAAAUUUUUUUAAUGCUGAGAACAUGAAAUCCCAUUCUAAAGAGUCGAAUGCUUUUGAAAAGUCUAAAAAUAAAUAAUGCUCCUUCUAUAUUAAAUUUUUCUGCAUAAUCAAUUAUAUCCUGGAUCUGUCUAAUAUUAUAACCUAUAUAUCUAUUUUUUAACAUACCCAUUUUGAUCUUCAUGGAUAAUUUUUGGUAAGACAUUUUUAAUGCGCUGAGCUAAUGAAUAUGCUAUUAAUUUUGUAUCAAUAUUUAAUAAAAGUAAUUGGUCUAUAGUUAUCUAAACUCAGUGGAUCAUUUUUUUUAUGGAUAAGAGAGAUAACUCCUAAUUUCUGAGAAGUUGUUAACUCCCCUUUUUUAUAUGAAAAAAUUAAAUGUGGAUACAAUGAAUUCUUUUAAUUCUUCCCAAAAUGUUCUAUAAAAUUCUACGCUUAAACCAUCAAUUCCAGGUGCUUUGUUCAAUUUCAUCUUAAAUAGUGAAUCUGUACAUUCAUCUAUAGUUAAUUUUCCUUCCAUAAUAUCACUCUCUUGUGUUGUUAAUUUAUGAUCAAUAUUUGUAUCAUUAAUAUAAUCAUUUAUAAAUUUUAUAUCUGGAUUUGUACUUUUAUAAAUAUCUUUAUAGAAUUCUGUUCUCUAAUUGUAAAAUUUUGGAUGAGUCAGUUUGUAUCACUCCUUCUUUAUCUCUUAGUGCAGUUAUAGUUUUUCUUGUUUGUCUAGCUUUUUCCAAACCUAAAAAGAAUUUCGUAUUUUUUUCCCCUUCUUCUACCCAUUGAAUUCGUGACCUGAUUUGAGCUCCUUUUGUUUUUAUUUCAUAUAUUUUCUUUAAUUUAUUCUCAUUAUUAAUUAAUUCUUCAUGAAAAUGCUUUAUUACCUCAUCUUUACAAUGUUUAUUAAUGUUUUCAUUUAAUUUUUUAAUUUUAUUUUCCAAUACAUGUAUUUCACUUAUAUUCUGUUUUGCUUUUCUUUUACAGUAUUCAAUGGUGUAUUCUUUGACCUCAAUUUUGAAUAAGUCCCAAUGGUGUCCAAUAUUUUUGGUAAGUUUUGGAUUGUUUUUAUAUUUAUGAAUUAGGCCAUUUAUUAUGUUUUUAUAUUCAAUAUUAUCCAAAAUGCUGUUAUUAAUUUUAAAAUAUCCUUUCCCUUUUGAUUGUGAUCUCCCUUUCAACUUUAGUGAUAUAGCUUGGUGGUCUGUGUGAGAUAUAAGUGCAGGUCUUAUAUCUGCUGAGUAUAUAUGUGAUCUUAUUUCUGGGCAUAUAAGAAAGAAAUCUAUGCGAGAGGCUUCAUUUAUAUUAUUUUUGCGUCUCCAUGUAAAUUGUGUAUUGUUACUAUGUGUCUCUCUCCAAAUGUCUAUCAACUUUAGUGUUUUAAUUAGAUUUUUUAAACUGUUAACUGGUUUUUGUGUUUUUUUAUUUGUGCUGUAUUUUUUUCUGUCAAUAUUUGAUAGAGUAUCAUUCAUAUCUCCACCAACAAUUACCAUCCCUAAGCUAUUCUCUGAUAUCAUAUCCUUUACUUUUUUGAAAAAAACAUUUCUGUUCUUUGGUAAAUUUGGAGCAUAAAUAUUCACUAAAGUAUAAAUGCUAUCUUUAAUUUCUACAUUAAGCAAAAUUAUUCUCCCUUCUUUAUCUUGAAAUUUAUCAAUAAAUUUAUAUUCUAUUUGCUCAUUAAUAUAAAUUGACACCCCUCUUGAUUGUGAAUUACCAUAGCUAUUAUAUAUAUCACCUUUGAAUUCUUCAUUCAAAUCUUUCUCUAAAUUAACAGUGAAAUGGCUUUCUUGUAUAAAUAAAAUAUUACAAUGUUGAUGCUUCAUCCACAUAUGAAGUCUUUGUCUUUUAUCUUUUGAUCCUAGUCCCUGACAAUUCAAUGAACAUAUAUGUACAGUUUCACUCAUUAUUUGUCAUAAGUGUUUUAAUAAUAAUACAAUGUUUACCCAAAUCUAAUGUUAACAACAUAAUAAUAAUACCAGAUUCAAAGUCAAUAUAUAUUUUUGUAAAUCCAUAUAUUAUACACCUUCUACAUAUACUUGUUAAUUUAAUAAAAAAUAUUUCAUUAUGUAAGCAAUCCAUAUACAAACUGUAAACUAUGCUAUUAAUGUGUAUCUCAUAAUAUUGUGACAUUGUACUAAUUGUUGUUUUAUUGUCUAUUUUCAGUCGGUGUUCGACCUUGACUUUAAAAAUAGGUUGACCCAGUUUCACCUGUGAGGAAUUUAAAUGCCACAUGAAGUUCUUAAUUGGCCUGGUAGAAAAUUUUUGUGAUAGUGGAUGUGUAAAAAAACGUAAUCCAUGUGUUUUGGAAACUUUAAAUCUGCACUUAUUAUUCAUGGAUUUACAUAGGAAUACUAGAACUGUGUGAACACGUGUUACUAUAUAUGGCCAGUGGUUGGCUAAAAAUAGAAUUGGACUUUCCCUUGCUAUACAUCUUGCACAUAGCAAAGAUUUGCGAUACAUACUAUCACAUUUGAUAACAAAUGCGUUUUCAGUGAAUAUUUUAAUUAUUUUCACAAGGAAUAAUAAGUAUUGAAAAAAGUGAUUAAUUAUUAACUUCAUAUUAAGAAUUAUGUUUCUGCCAGAAAAAGAAGAUUCUAUUGUGCUUUUUAUAGCAUACAUAUACCAUAUAGGAAUAUUUUCCUUUUUCACAACAAACAUUUCUUUGACUUUCAAUUUGUCAUUUCUUUUUGGAUGUAUGCAAUCUGUAAUCACAUCACAUUCAUGUUUUUGUUUUUUUUC